This is a long non-coding RNA of Rhodamnia argentea, 1079 nucleotides long. RefSeq lists it as uncharacterized. The record is from RefSeq and is a predicted model, not a curated record. NCBI's taxonomy places the organism in Eukaryota, Viridiplantae, Streptophyta, Magnoliopsida, Myrtales, Myrtaceae. The transcript is spliced from 2 exons.
UCCCGGCAUGCUCACCUUCGAAGCUGGACACGUAGUCGCCACGUGUCGACUCAGCAGCAUUGCCAGGUGAUGACGAUCCCACUUCCUCGAAUCAUCACGCGCCUUCUCUCCUGCUCAUUCCUUUCUUUGCUCGCUCUCGUCUGUUCUUGAGCUUUCUGGCGAUUCGAUCGAACCCGUCUCGGAGAAAACGCGCGCGAACCCAUGUCAAGCGCCGAGGACAUCGACUCGACCUACGAGCGCCUCGGCGAGGCGUUUCCGGCGCCGGAAGCCGACGAAGUGGCGGGACCGGUCUUGGAGCCGCCGGAGUACGUCACGUCUAAGCAGCUCAAGCAGGAAGAAGGGGAUGAAAAGUGGAAGGAAGCGGGGAAGGAGGAGAGCAAAGGGAGGAGGUGUAGAGACUCGGCGCCAGAGAGCUUGAGAUCAACGAUCGUAUUCUCCGUGGCGGUCGUGGCGGUGGUCGGAGCAAUAAUCGCCAUCGCUAAGAAGCUGAGAGAGAAUUGAGAUUGCGGUGCGGAACUCAGUAGUUCGUCGGUUCACACUGUCGCUCUUUUUCUUUUUUGGCUAAGCAUCAUUGCGUGACUCAGCGCAAUGUUGAUUACACUUGACAUGUUUGAGCGGUCUAAAAUAAUUGAAGUUCCGUAUGUACUGGGAUAGAUUGGUGGUCCUUAAUCACGAUUGAAUUGGAAACAAAAGGACGGUGGUUUUCCAAUCCUUAGGAUCAAAGAUGGAUACGGCGUGGAAGAGAGCGCAACACGAUAUAGUCGCUAACCCUUCAAAGGGCCGCCGCAUUCUACUCCUCGAAUCGAGGCGGCUCAACCCUCGAAAGAGCCGAUCGCGACAAGACUAUUAUGUACUAGGUAUGAAAUCACAUCGGAACCAGAAUCACCUCAUUAACACCGCCCGAUCACCAGAUCGCCAGUUGCCGAUAAAAUUUCAGUCAGCCAAACGAUACUCGAACACGAACCCACCAAAUGUUGUUCAUCAGCCUCGUGAUUGUAUGCACAUACAGGGAAAAGAGUCGAGUCAGCUAGAAAGCUAUAGCCAGACCUGAGAUGAGAGGAAAAUGGGAUCUGUGCGAA